RNAcentral lists this small nucleolar RNA (108 nucleotides) under Nicotiana tabacum (common tobacco). RNAcentral's name for it is "Plant small nucleolar RNA R71". It matches the Rfam family "Plant small nucleolar RNA R71". From Rfam's summary of the family: R71 is a member of the C/D box family of snoRNAs containing the C (UGAUGA) and D (CUGA) box motifs. Multiple nearly identical copies of this snoRNA have been identified in Arabidopsis, and it is thought to function as a 2'-O-ribose methylation guide for 18S ribosomal RNA. The record is from Rfam by way of RNAcentral. Lineage: Eukaryota; Viridiplantae; Streptophyta; Magnoliopsida; Solanales; Solanaceae.
AUUCCACUUUGUUGACACUUUCUAACAAUCUCCUUAAACCUCUCCCAUGCUUCAAAAAUAGUUUCAAUCUAUUCUCUGGCAAAAGUUAUGGAUUUCUCUUCUAAACUU